This 430-nucleotide ribosomal RNA is filed under the name uncultured delta proteobacterium. RNAcentral describes it as "bacterial SSU rRNA". It matches the Rfam family "Bacterial small subunit ribosomal RNA", at positions 355 to 776 of the family's 1533-position model. Lineage: Bacteria; Deltaproteobacteria. The record is from RNAcentral.
UGAGGAAUCUUGCGCAAUGGGGGAAACCCUGACGCAGCAACGCCGCGUGAGUGAGGAAGGCUUUCGGGUCGUAAAGCUCUGUCGGAUGGGAAGAAAUGGUUGGAAGCUAAUACCUUCCAUCCUUGACGGUACCAUCAGAGGAAGCACCGGCUAACUCCGUGCCAGCAGCCGCGGUAAUACGGGGGGUGCAAGCGUUGUUCGGAAUCAUUGGGCGUAAAGCGCGCGCAGGCGGCUUGGUAAGUCAGAUGUGAAAUCCCUGGGCUUAACCCAGGAAGUGCAUUUGAUACUGCCUCGCUAGAGUACGGGAGAGGAAAGUGGAAUUCCUGGUGUAGAGGUGAAAUUCGUAGAUAUCAGGAGGAACACCGGUGGCGAAGGCGACUUUCUGGCCCGAUACUGACGCUCAGGCGCGAAAGCGUGGGGAGCAAACAGG